Molecule: ribosomal RNA, 239 nt
Filed under: Salmonella enterica
Lineage: Bacteria; Pseudomonadati; Pseudomonadota; Gammaproteobacteria; Enterobacterales; Enterobacteriaceae
Also listed under: 3 other names
Description: partial 16S ribosomal RNA
Rfam family: Bacterial small subunit ribosomal RNA
Source: RNAcentral
AAAUUGAAGAGUUUGAUCAUGGCUCAGAUUGAACGCUGGCGGCAGGCCUAACACAUGCAAGUCGAACGGUAACAGGAAGCAGCUUGCUGCUUCGCUGACGAGUGGCGGACGGGUGAGUAAUGUCUGGGAAACUGCCUGAUGGAGGGGGAUAACUACUGGAAACGGUGGCUAAUACCGCAUAACGUCGCAAGACCAAAGAGGGGGACCUUCGGGCCUCUUACCAUCAGAUGUGCCCAGAU